CCUUGUACACACCGCCCGUCACACCAUGAAAGCCGGUUCUACCAGAAGCCGCCCUGCUAACUUCGGAGGCAAGCGCCCAAGGUAGGACUGGUGAUUGGGGUG
Molecule: ribosomal RNA, 102 nt
Filed under: uncultured bacterium
Lineage: Bacteria
Description: partial 16S ribosomal RNA
Rfam family: Bacterial small subunit ribosomal RNA
Source: RNAcentral